AGCAGCCGCGGUAAUUCCAGCUCCAAUAGCGUAUAUUAAAGUUGUUGCAGUUAAAAAGCUCGUAGUUGAAUUUCGGGGUCAGUAGGUUGGUCAUGCCACUGGUAUGUACUGGUCUCGCUGAUUCCUCCUUCCUGAUGAGCCGUAAUGCCAUUAAUUUGGUGUUGCGAGGAAUCUGGACUGUUACUUUGAAAAAAUUAGAGUGUUUAAAGCAGGCUAACGCUUGAAUACAUUAGCAUGGAAUAAUGAAAUAGGACGUUCGAUCUUAUUUUGUUGGUUUCUAAGAUUGACGUAAUGAUUAAUAGGGAUAGUUGGGGGCAUUAGUAUUCAAUUGUCAGAGGUGAAAUUCUUGGAUUUAUUGAAGACUAACUACUGCGAAAGCAUUUGCCAAGGAUGUUUUCAUUAAUCAAGAACGAAAGUUAGGGGAUCGAAGACGAUCAGAUACCGUCGUAG
Molecule: ribosomal RNA, 450 nt
Filed under: uncultured Glomeromycotina
Lineage: Eukaryota; Fungi; Glomeromycota
Description: SSU rRNA
Rfam family: Eukaryotic small subunit ribosomal RNA
Source: RNAcentral